Molecule: long non-coding RNA, 3536 nt
Filed under: Homo sapiens (human)
Lineage: Eukaryota; Metazoa; Chordata; Mammalia; Primates; Hominidae
Description: non-protein coding lnc-COL8A2-60:3
Source: RNAcentral
GACUCACCCGCCGCGGGGACUGGGGGAGAGGGGGAGCAGGGCUGGGACUCCCCUUUCCCACCCUGGAGUUUGGGGGCUCUGGCACUGGGGCUGAGAGGGCAGCUUCGAGUCCAAAUUCUCGCUCAAACCCACCUAAACCAAAGCGGCCCGGGGGACGUCGGGAGGCAUGAAGGAGAGUCACAAGGAGACCCCUGAAAGGGUUUCGCUUUCUCUCCCCUGCUGAUGGCUGGGCUGGGGACAGGUCUGGGAGCCUUGCUGCCGCCCUUGCUCCGGCAUUCUGCGCUUGUGUCUUCCCUGCUCCUCUGGGGGUAAUUACAGCCCUGCGCAGCUGCCUUACCCAGGUCUCUAAUCUGCUGGGUCCCUCCCGGCUCCAAACUGGGUGGUCCUAGCCCUGGACCUCCCCCACCCCCACCAGACGACCCCGCCAAUCACCCCAGAAGGAUUUUCUCCCAGUGGUCUGUCGAUGAGGGGGUGGUGACCCCCUCCAGAAUCCACUCCCCAAAGUAGCCCUGCUUCCCAGCCCUCCAGAAUGGACUCCCAGCCCCCUUGUUGGUGCCAGCUGAGGUGAGGGCUUCAAGCCAAGCCAGGCCCAGCCCGGGGCAGAGUGGGGAGCUUGCUGGGAAGGUGGAUGGAUGAUGGUGGUGCUGCUGCAGGGACUUGGGUUGCGGGGGAGGAGGAGGGGCAGCUGUGCCCUGCCCACCCUGGCCCUGCCCUUUGUCCUGACUUCUAGAAGGUCAGUUCUCUAGUUCUUCAUUGUCCAGAGAUUAGGCCCAGUGAGAUACUGUCCCCCUUGCCCCCCUUCCCUCCAGUUUCUCCUUCCUUUAAGCAGCUCCAGAAAGCGGCCAUUUGGAGGGAUAGAGUGGGAAACAAAAGGGUCAGGGGCUCAGGCAACCUGGGAGCAGCCUGUCCUGGGAUGUGUGCGUAUCUGGGGGCUUGGACACUCUUGGGAAGGCCUGGGAAGGGAAUAGUGUCCCCUCUGGCCCAAAAACAUUAGAAAAGGAUGAUGAUAGAAGGGCGGCAACUGGAGCCAGUAACCUUGAGCUAGUGACUUAACUUUUCUAAAAUCUAAUUUGCUCUCCUACAAAAUCAGAAAAAUAGUAGUGCCAUGAGGUAUCUUGGGGUCUUUGUAAAGAUUAAAUAAGGCAAUGGAAAUGAAGUGCUGAGCACAGAACCUGGCAUCUAGGAAGUGCUCAGUAAACAAGUAUAAUGGUGAUGAAGGCAUUGAUGAGUAAAAGUGGAAGGACGAGGAGCAGAUCCCCCAUCUUUGUGUCAGUCAUCUUAUCUGCAGGGUGGGGGGACUGCGGGGAUGACGGAGUUCAUGACAGUCCUUUGUGAGGUCAGGGGCCUCACAGCCUGCCUCUUCCAGAGCUGGACAGGCCAGACCUGACUCAGGCAGUGACCAGACUCAGGAGAAUUCAGGAACACGUAUGGGGAGAGAGCCCUCUGGAAUGGUUCUUCUCCCACCUCCCACCCCUUGUCUUGAGAUUACUGCAGGGAUGGAGAUGGAUGGAUGGAUGGAUGGGAGUCGCGAGAUACCCACAUUGGCUACGGCUCAAGACUAGUGGCUGGCUGUGGUGGCUCACACUGUAAUCCCAGCAAUUUGGGAGGCCAAGGUGGGAGGAUCCUUGAAGUCAGGAGUUCGAGAUCAGCCUGGCCAACAUGGUGAAACCCUGUCUCUGCCAAAAAUACAAAAGUUAGCCAGGUGUGGUGGUGGGUGCCUGUAAUCCCAGCUACUCCAGAGGCUGAGGCAGGAGAAUCGUUUGAACCCCAGAGGCGGAGGUUGCAGUGAGCCAAGAUCAUGCCACUGCACUUCAGCCUGAGCAACAGAAUGAGACCCUGCCACAACAAAACAAACAAACAGCCAAACAAACAAAAGGAAUAGUGGAGGUGGAAAUGGCAGCUAAAAAUGAACAGAUAGGCCAGGGACAGCCCACGUAGGAGGACUUGAAUGCCAAAUGCUUGGAAACAAGCAUGGGGAGCUGUUGAAGAUUAUGGGGUUUUUCAGUAGAGGAAGGGUGAGCAGACUUUAGAACUGGAAAUCUAUUGUCUUUGGGAUUGACUGUGGGGAGCUCACUAAAAAGAGCCCCUGGUAUUAGCCUACAUCAGGGGGUUCUCAACCAAGGGCAAUUUUGCCCCCCAGGAGACAUUUAGCCAUGUUUAGAGACAUACGGCGGUGGGCGGGGGGUGUGUCUCUAAACAUGGCAGCUACCGCGUAGAAGCCAGGGAUGCUGUUUACCAUCCUACAUUGCGUAGGACCAUCCUCACAAUAAGGAAUUCUCAGGUGCAAAAUGUCAGUAGUGCUAAGGUUGAGGAACCCUUCCCUAGCUUGAGGGUGAGGCACUCACAAGAUGUUGGUGCUGGAGACCAGCAGAGCAUCUGGGAGUUAGGCAGCUUAAACGACAGUUCUCCUGGCCAGACCUGAAGGUUUCCUGUGCUGCUGAUGAGUCCACAGGGAGUGUGCGGAGGAUGGCUGAGGAGGGGCCUGGAGAGCACCCGUGUUCCGUGAUUGAGGCAGUUGGUGGACAGAGGAAGUGGACUCCUCUCCAUUCUCCUCCUCACUGGCCAGGAUCCCUGGCAGAUUCCAGGCCCCAGCAACCAAGAGGGUUAAGAGUGUCUCUCUCUGAGUUUGGGGCUAGGUAACGCUGCAUGGGGCACCACAAAUAGACAUCCCAGAGAAGGAGCAAGUAGGGUACUUGCUGAAACCCUAACAUAAGAGGCUGAAGUCCCAACAGCAUUCCCUGCAGUCUUUGGCGAGCGACAGGGACCUCUGGACCAGGGCAGUAGGAGAUCGUGGCCCAGGGCAGUCUCCUCCUUCUGCACGGAAACAGGCAUGAGUGAGCUGUUCCUUUCACCGCAAGGUUGGGCUGGGGCUGGGGGAAGCCCACAGAAUGGGGAUCAGAAAUAUGUUCCUAUCCUGGCCAGGCACAGUGGCUCACGCCUAAUCCCAGCACUUUGGGAGGCCAGUGCAGGUAGAUCACUUGAGCUCAGGAGUUCGAGACCAGCCUGGGCAACAUGGCGAAACCCUGUCUCCACCAAAAAUACAAAAAAUUAGCCAGGCAUCGUGGUGCGUGCCUGUAGUCUGAACUACUCAGGAGGCUGAGGUGGGAGGAUCACUUGAGCCCGGAAGGUCAAGGCUGCAGUGAGCCAUGUUUGUGCCACUGCACUCCAGCCUGGACGACAGAGACCCUGUCUAAAAAAAGAGAGAAAAGAUAGUAAAAAAAAUCUUUAAAAAAAGAGUAUACUAAAGAAAUUUUUGGCCAGGCGGGGGUGGCUCACACCUGUAAUCCCAGCACUCUGGGAGGCCGAGGUGGGCAGAUGACCUGAGGUCAGGAGUUCACGACCAACCUGGCCAACAUGUCGAAACCCAGUCUCUACUAAAAAUACAAAAACAUUAGCCAGGCAUGGUGGCACAUGCCUGUAGUCCCAGCUACUCAGGAGGCUGAGGCAGGAGAAUCACUUGAACCUGGGAGGCGGAGGUUGCAGUGAGCCAAGAUCACACCACUGCACUCCAGCCUGGGCGACGGAGCAAGACUCUC